AAAUUGAAGAGUUUGAUCAUGGCUCAGAUUGAACGCUGGCGGCAGGCCUAACACAUGCAAGUCGAACGGUAACAGGAAGMAGCUUGCUKCUUAGCUGACGAGUGGCGGACGGGUGAGUAAUGUCUGGGAAACUGCCUGAUGGAGGGGGAUAACUACUGGAAACGGUAGCUAAUACCGCAUAACGUCGCAAGACCAAAGAGGGGGACCUUCGGGCCUCUUGCCAUCGGAUGUGCCCAGAUGGGAUUAGCUUGUUGGUGGGGUAAUGGCUCACCAAGGCGACGAUCCCUAGCUGGUCUGAGAGGAUGACCAGCCACACUGGAACUGAGACACGGUCCAGACUCCUACGGGA
Molecule: ribosomal RNA, 349 nt
Filed under: Escherichia coli
Lineage: Bacteria; Pseudomonadati; Pseudomonadota; Gammaproteobacteria; Enterobacterales; Enterobacteriaceae
Description: bacterial SSU rRNA
Source: RNAcentral